This 520-nucleotide ribosomal RNA is filed under the name uncultured Entrophospora. RNAcentral describes it as "SSU rRNA". It matches the Rfam family "Eukaryotic small subunit ribosomal RNA", at positions 569 to 1078 of the family's 1831-position model. Lineage: Eukaryota; Fungi; Glomeromycota; Glomeromycetes; Entrophosporales; Entrophosporaceae. The record is from RNAcentral.
AGCAGCCGCGGUAAUUCCAGCUCCAAUAGCGUAUAUUAAAGUUGUUGCAGUUAAAAAGCUCGUAGUUGAAUUUCGGGAUUGACGUGAUGGUCAUGCCUUAAGGGGUAUGAACUGUUGCAGUUGAUUUCUCACCUUCUGGAAAAAACCUUGAUGUCCUUUAUUGGGUGUCUUGCGGAUCCAGGACCUUUACCUUGAAAAAAUUUAGAGUGUUUAAAGCAGGCAUUUUUGCUCGAAUACAUUAGCAUGGAAUAAUAGAAUAGGACGGCAUGGUUCUAUUUUGUUGGUUUCUAGGAUCACCGUAAUGAUUAAUAGGGAUAGUUGGGGGCAUUAGUAUUCAAUUGUCAGAGGUGAAAUUCUUGGAUUUAUUGAAGACUAACUACUGCGAAAGCAUUUGCCAAGGAUGUUUUCAUUAAUCAAGAACGAAAGUUAGGGGAUCGAAGACGAUCAGAUACCGUCGUAGUCUUAACCAUAAACUAUGCCGACUAGGAAAUCAGACGAUGUUAAUUUUUUAAAUGACUCG